AUUAAUUUAUUUGCAUUUCUAAAUAAUUUUCCUGAUAUAAUAUUUUUGUUUCCCGUGCAAAAUAUGUACCUACUUUUUGUUUUGGUUCCGUUGAGCAUUCGUCAAUUCAUAUCGCAUUUUAGUUGUGAUAACAAAAACACCUAAGAGCUAGAAUUGUGCUUUUUUUUGUUUUAUCCAAUUCAUAAGAAAGCUGCUAUUAAAUAAGCUAAAUAACAUAUGCAUAAUACCCUUUCAGACCGGCCCGGCUCACGCAACUCCCAUUAGAAAUCAUGUUCAUAUUGCAUGCCGAGCUUAAAUUAACAGAGUGCUAAAUUGUGAGUGAAAAAAACCGGCGCACAGAAAUUAAGCAGGCGAUCGAAGUUCGAGUGUGAACAAUGCGCCGCAUUGCUUAGAGCAUGGUGCACACCCGCACAAACACGAGAUGAGCCAAGGCCGGAGAUAAGAAGCCAGCAGUUCGUGUGUGUGUUCGCUGUCAUUUAUCUAGUUACGCUCACGCGCUCACGAUUCUUUACGGCGCUGAUCGCUGAUUGGUCCAAUCAAUAAGUGCCGGCAGCAAUGUUCUCUGCGCUCUGCUCUCUGAGCGCAGCUUUGAUGCAGCUGCGCAACUUUCGUCUGAGUCAGUGUGGCCCUAUAAGUGAAUAGGGCAUGUUGUUGUGCUGCGCGGGAUAGUCUAUUAAGCCUGUAAUUAUUUUCUUAUACGUCUUCCCGGAUCUGAUGCGUAAGCAGAUAAGGCUAUUAUUUGGCGAUUACAUAACAUAUGUUUAGAUAACACAUGUUUGUGUGUUUUCGCACUUGAUACCUGCUAAUGCUUGCUUGAGCGUUAUCUAGCUUUGAACAGGGAUUACUACAGUUUGUGGGUUUCUUGCUCCAUGUGCUGUGCGCCGAGCACUUGAGUGAAACUCUUUGAGUAACAUUAUAAGGAAAACUGCUCGGAAAAUGUCGUCCAUGUCGCAAAUAUCAAUUGACAUGUAAAACAAUUGCCCUGAAAUUUCUUAGUGCUCUGUCGACUUUGGCGAUUUUGAAGACUCACGGACCCCAAAAGCUAAAUCUGCCAAGGACAAAAAUUUUGAGACCUGAAUGAGCUUGGAUAUAUGCUCAUGCUAUGGAUAUAUGUUGCCUUAAACAAAACCGCAUUUUAAUUUUGUUGCUGCCAAUCUGCGUCGAUUCUUAAAUUAACAUUUUGUAGAAUUCUGCCGAUCUUAAAGACUAAUCCUGCCAACCUUCAUGGACAAUAUAUAA
This is a non-coding RNA of Drosophila virilis, 1239 nucleotides long. Lineage: Eukaryota; Metazoa; Arthropoda; Insecta; Diptera; Drosophilidae. The record is from RefSeq and is a predicted model, not a curated record.